GGGAGUGAAAAAGAACCUGAAACCGUGUACGUACAAGCAGUGGGAGCACAGAGCAAUCUGUGUGACUGCGUACCUUUUGUAUAAUGGGUCAGCGACUUAUAUUCUGUAGCAAGGUUAACCGAAUAGGGGAGCCGAAGGGAAACCGAGUCUUAACUGGGCGUUAAGUUGCAGGGUAUAGACCCGAAACCCGGUGAUCUAGCCAUGGGCAGGUUGAAGGUUGGGUAACACUAACUGGAGGACCGAACCGACUAAUGUUGAAAAAUUAGCGGAUGACUUGUGGCUGGGGGUGAAAGGCCAAUCAAACCGGGAGAUAGCUGGUUCUCCCCGAAAGCUAUUUAGGUAGCGCCUCGUGAAUUCAUCUCCGGGGGUAGAGCACUGUUUCGGCAAGGGGGUCAUCCCGACUUACCAACCCGAUGCAAACUGCGAAUACCGGAGAAUGUUAUCACGGGAGACACACGGCGGGUGCUAACGUCCGUCGUGAAGAGGGAAACAACCCAGACCGCCAGCUAAGGUCCCAAAGUCAUGGUUAAGUGGGAAACGAUGUGGGAAGGCCCAGACAGCCAGGAUGUUGGCUUAGAAGCAGCCAUCAUUUAAAGAAAGCGUAAUAGCUCACUGGUCGAGUCGGCCUGCGCGGAAGAUGUAACGGGGCUAAACCAUGCACCGAAGCUGCGGCAGCGACACUGUGUGUUGUUGGGUAGGGGAGCGU
Molecule: ribosomal RNA, 706 nt
Filed under: Escherichia coli
Lineage: Bacteria; Pseudomonadati; Pseudomonadota; Gammaproteobacteria; Enterobacterales; Enterobacteriaceae
Description: partial 23S ribosomal RNA
Rfam family: Bacterial large subunit ribosomal RNA
Source: RNAcentral